This 1927-nucleotide ribosomal RNA is filed under the name human gut metagenome. RNAcentral describes it as "bacterial LSU rRNA". It matches the Rfam family "Bacterial large subunit ribosomal RNA", at positions 3 to 1973 of the family's 2925-position model. The record is from RNAcentral.
UCAAGUGACUAAGUGCAUGUGGCGGAUGCCUUGGCGAUCACAGGCGAAGAAAGACGCGGCAGCCUGCGAAAAGCUGCGGGGAGCUGGCAAACGAGCUUUGAUCCGCAGAUAUCUGAAUGGGGGAACCCACACCGCAAGGUGUAUCCGUGACUGAAUACAUAGGUUACGGAGGCGAACGAGGAGAACUGAAACAUCUAAGUAUCCUCAGGAAAAGAAAUCAACCGAGAUUCCGGCAGUAGCGGCGAGCGAACCCGGAGGAGCCUAGCUUUUGAUAGUACGAACUUUAGCCGAAAGGUCCUGGAAAGGCCUGCUAUAGUGGGUGAUAGCCCCGUAGGCGAAAGAGUUCGUAUGGUACUAAGGAAGCGAGAAGUAGAGCGGGACACGUGGAAUCCUGUUCGAAGAUGGGGGGACCAUCCUCCAAGGCUAAAUACUCGUGAUCGACCGAUAGUGAACCAGUACCGUGAGGGAAAGGCGAAAAGAACCCCGGGAGGGGAGUGAAAUAGAACCUGAAACCGCAUGCAUACAAACAGUAGGAGCCUCGUCAGAGGUGACUGCGUACCUUUUGCAUAAUGGGUCAGCGACUUACAUUCUGUGGCGAGCUUAACCGAAUAGGGGAGGCGCAGCGAAAGCGAGUUCGAAAUGAGCGUCCAGUCGCAGGGUGUAGACCCGAAACCAGAUGAGCUAUCCAUGGCCAGGUUGAAGGUGUGGUAACACACACUGGAGGACCGAACCGACUAGUGUUGCAAAAUUAGCGGAUGAGCUGUGGAUAGGGGUGAAAGGCCAAACAAAUCUGGAGAUAGCUGGUUCUCCCCGAAAACUAUUGAGGUAGUGCCUCGUGUGUCGCUCCAGGGGGUAGAGCACUGUUUUGGCUAGGGGGACAUGGAGUCUUACCAAACCAAGGCAAACUCCGAAUACCUGGAAGCGUGAGCACGGGAGACAGAGCACCGGGUGCUAACGUCCGGACUCAAAAGGGAAACAACCCAGACCGCCGGCUAAGGUCCCCAAUAACAGCUAAGUGGAAAACGAAGUGGAAAGGCCGUGACAACCAGGAAGUUGGCUUAGAAGCAGCCAUCCUUCAAAGAAAGCGUAAUAGCUCACUGGUCGAGUCCUUCUGCGCGGAAGAUGUAACGGGGCUAAGCUGUUAACCGAAGCCGCGGAUGCACUGAUUAUUCAGUGCGUGGUAGGGGAGCGUUCUGUAAGUCUGCGAAGGCGGUUCGAGAGGACUGCUGGAGAUAUCAGAAGUGCGAAUGCUGACAUGAGUAACGUUAAAGCAGGUGAAAAGCCUGCUCGCCGUAAGCCCAAGGAUUCCUGCUCUACGUUCAUCGGAGCAGGGUGAGUCGGCUCCUAAGGUCAGGCCGAAAGGCGUAGCCGAUGGGAAUCAGGUUAAUAUUCCUGAACCUGCGUCAGAUGCGAUGGGGGGACGGAGCAUGAAAGAUCAUCCGGGUGUUGGAUGUCCCGGUUGACGAGCGUAGGAGGUCUGCAGGCAAAUCCGCAGACGCAUCUCCAAGGCGAAGUCACGUGCCGCCACGGCGGCGAAGUGAUCGGAAGUGCUUCCAAGAAAAGCCUCUAAGCACCAGUCUGGCGCGGACCGUACCGCAAACCGACACUGGUGGGCGAGCUGAAUAUGCUCAGGCGCUUGAGAGAACUCGGGAGAAGGAACUCGGCAAAUUGACACCGUAACUUCGGAAGAAGGUGUGCCGUAGUACCGUGAGAGGAGAGACACCUUGAGCGGGAAUCGGUCUCAGAGAAUAGGUGGCUGCGACUGUUUAUUAAAAACACAGCACUCUGCAAAGUCGAAAGACGACGUAUAGGGUGUGAUGCCUGCCCGGUGCUGGAAGAUUAAUUGAUGGGGUGAGAGCCCUUGAUCGAAGUCCCAGUAAACGGCGGCCGUAACUAUAACGGUCCUAAGGUAGCGAAAUUCCUUGUC